Molecule: ribosomal RNA, 211 nt
Filed under: uncultured bacterium
Lineage: Bacteria
Description: partial 16S ribosomal RNA
Rfam family: Bacterial small subunit ribosomal RNA
Source: RNAcentral
AGUUCAGAUUGCAGGCUGCAACUCGCCUGCAUGAAGUUGGAAUUGCUAGUAAUCGCGAAUCAGAAUGUCGCGGUGAAUACGUUCCCGGGCCUUGUACACACCGCCCGUCACACCAUGAGAGUCGAUAACACCCGAAGCCUGUGAGCUAACCGUAAGGAGGCAGCAGUCGAAGGUGGGGUUGAUGAUUGGGGUGAAGUCGUAACAAGGUAAC